CUGCAGUCGAGCGAGACCUUCGGGUCUAGCGGCGGACGGGUUAGUAACGCGUGGGAACGUGCCCUUCUCUGCGGAAUAGCCACUGGAAACGGUGAGUAAUACCGCAUACGCCCUUCGGGGGAAAGAUUUAUCGGAGAAGGAUCGGCCCGCGUUAGAUUAGAUAGUUGGUGGGGUAACGGCCUACCAAGUCUACGAUCUAUAGCUGGUUUUAGAGGAUGAUCAGCAACACUGGGACUGAGACACGGCCCAGACUCCUACGGGAGGCAGCAGUGGGGAAUCUUAGACAAUGGGCGCAAGCCUGAUCUAGCCAUGCCGCGUGUGUGAUGAAGGUCUUAGGAUCGUAAAGCACUUUCGCCAGGGAUGAUAAUGACAGUACCUGGUAAAGAAACCCCGGCUAACUCCGUGCCAGCAGCCGCGGUAAUACGGAGGGGGUUAGCGUUGUUCGGAAUUACUGGGCGUAAAGCGCGCGUAGGCGGAUUGGAAAG
This 485-nucleotide ribosomal RNA is filed under the name Sulfitobacter sp. Its description in RNAcentral is "bacterial SSU rRNA". It matches the Rfam family "Bacterial small subunit ribosomal RNA", at positions 55 to 587 of the family's 1533-position model. Lineage: Bacteria; Pseudomonadati; Pseudomonadota; Alphaproteobacteria; Rhodobacterales; Roseobacteraceae. The record is from RNAcentral.